This 275-nucleotide long non-coding RNA is filed under the name Capsicum annuum. RNAcentral describes it as "long non-coding RNA (CANN_LNC012783)". Lineage: Eukaryota; Viridiplantae; Streptophyta; Magnoliopsida; Solanales; Solanaceae. The record is from RNAcentral.
CAAGGAAUACAUGGAAAGUGUUUGAAAUAAUAGUCUAUGAUUUCAAUGAACCUAAGAUGAGAAGGGAGUUGUGGGAAGACAUAAAUUGCAUCCAUGAUCAUACAUGGUCCAUCGCCAGUGUUAGGUGAUUUCAAUUGUAUAUUUCAUAGGGGUGAGAAGCUUGGAAGGCCUGUAACUGUGGCAGAGACAGAAUUUUUAGGCAUAUGUAGCAAAGUGUGGACACCAAGACCUGAAAUCUUCAGGAGCUUUUUACACACAGAAUAAUAAAUAGAAAG